This 253-nucleotide ribosomal RNA is filed under the name uncultured bacterium. RNAcentral describes it as "partial 16S ribosomal RNA". It matches the Rfam family "Bacterial small subunit ribosomal RNA", at positions 524 to 776 of the family's 1533-position model. The record is from RNAcentral.
UACGUAGGGCGCGAGCGUUGUCCGGAAUUAUUGGGCGUAAAGAGCUCGUAGGCGGCCUGUUGCGUCCGCUGUGAAAGCCCGGGGCUUAACUCCGGGUCUGCAUUCGAUACGGGCAGGCUAGAGUUCGGUAGGGGAGAUCGGAAUUCCUGGUGUAGCGGUGAAAUGCGCAGAUAUCAGGAGGAACACCGGUGGCGAAGGCGGAUCUCUGGGCCGAUACUGACGCUGAGGAGCGAAAGCGUGGGGAGCGAACAGG